CCCAUCAAUCGCUCAGUAGUCAGUGUAGAUUCUGUGUUUACAAUCAGCAGCUACAUCUGGCUACUGGGUCUCUGAUGACAUCU
Merops nubicus (carmine bee-eater) is the source of this 83-nucleotide microRNA precursor. It matches the Rfam family "mir-221 microRNA precursor family". The record is from Rfam. NCBI's taxonomy places the organism in Eukaryota, Metazoa, Chordata, Aves, Coraciiformes, Meropidae.